Non-coding RNA from Streptomyces phaeoluteigriseus, 72 nucleotides. The record is from Rfam. NCBI's taxonomy places the organism in Bacteria, Bacillati, Actinomycetota, Actinomycetes, Kitasatosporales, Streptomycetaceae.
CGGCGUGUAGCUCAGCAGCAGAGCACCGGGCUCUCAUCCCGGAGGGCACGGGGGCAGAACCCGUCACGCCGG